This 525-nucleotide ribosomal RNA is filed under the name uncultured bacterium. Its description in RNAcentral is "bacterial SSU rRNA". It matches the Rfam family "Bacterial small subunit ribosomal RNA", at positions 28 to 572 of the family's 1533-position model. The record is from RNAcentral.
GAUAAACGCUGGCGGCGUGCUUCAGGCAUGCAAGUCGAACGAGUGCACACCUUCGGGUGUGUUACUAGUGGCGGACGGGUGAGUAACACGUAAGUAACCUGCCCGGAAGUGGGGAAUAACUGACCGAAAGGUUGGCUAAUACCGCAUGUGAUGGCCCUUCCCUGGAGGGGUCAUUAAAGGCGUAAGUCGCUUCCGGAGGGGCUUGCGGCCGAUUAGCUAGUUGGUGGGGUAAUGGCCUACCAAGGCGACGAUCGGUAGCUGGUCUGAGAGGACGGACAGCCACACGGGGACUGAGAUACGGCCCCGACUCCUACGGGAGGCAGCAGCUAGGAAUCUUGGGAAUGGGCGAAAGCCUGACCCAGCAACGCCGCGUGGGCGAUGAAGGCCUUAGGGUCGUAAAGCCCUUUUGCAGGGGAAGAUAAUGACGGUACCCUGCGAAUAAGCCACGGCUAACUACGUGCCAGCAGCCGCGGUAAUACGUAGGUGGCAAGCGUUGUCCGGAUUUACUGGGCGUAAAGGGCGUGC